AAGUCGUAACAAGGUCUCCGUUGGUGAACCAGCGGAGGGAUCAUUACUGAGUCGUAAAAACUCCCAAACCCAUGUGAACUUACCUAUGUUGCCUCGGCAGGACUACCGGACCCGGUACCCUGCCUAGAUCCUUCUGUAGCCUGCCGGUGGACAUCUAAACUCUUGUUUUUUAUAGAAAUCUGAACGUCUUAUUAAAUAAGUCAAAA
Molecule: unclassified non-coding RNA, 206 nt
Filed under: plant metagenome
Description: partial contains small subunit ribosomal RNA and internal transcribed spacer 1
Rfam family: Eukaryotic small subunit ribosomal RNA (bases 1-46)
Source: RNAcentral